RNAcentral lists this ribosomal RNA (482 nucleotides) under uncultured bacterium. RNAcentral describes it as "partial 16S ribosomal RNA". It matches the Rfam family "Bacterial small subunit ribosomal RNA", at positions 30 to 507 of the family's 1533-position model. The record is from RNAcentral.
AUUGAACGCUGGCGGCAUGCUUUACACAUGCAAGUCGAACGGUAACAGGCCGCAAGGUGCUGACGAGUGGCGAACGGGUGAGUAAUGCAUCGGAACGUGCCCAGUCGUGGGGGAUAACUACUCUAAAGAGUAGCUAAUACCGCAUACGAUCUAUGGAUGAAAGCGGGGGACCGUAAGGCCUCGCGCGAUUGGAGCGGCCGAUGUCAGAUGAGGUAGUUGGUGGGGUAAAGGCUCACCAAGCCAACGAUCUGUAGCUGGUCUGAGAGGACGACCAGCCACACUGGGACUGAGACACGGCCCAGACUACUACGGGAGGCAGCAGUGGGGAAUUUUGGACAAUGGGCGCAAGCCUGAUCCAGCAAUGCCGCGUGCAGGAAGAAGGCCUUCGGGUUGUAAACUGCUUUUGUACGGAACGAAACGGCUCUGGUUAAUACCCGGGGCUAAUGACGGUACCGUAAGAAUAAGCACCGGCUAACUACGUG